GUCCCCAUCGUCUAGAGGCCAAGGACACCGCCCUUUCACGGCGGUAACCCGGGUUCGAAUCCCGGUGGGGACGCCA
Molecule: transfer RNA, 76 nt
Filed under: Deltaproteobacteria bacterium GWC2_42_11
Lineage: Bacteria; Deltaproteobacteria
Also listed under: 3 other names
Description: tRNA-Glu
Rfam family: tRNA
About the family: Transfer RNA (tRNA) molecules are approximately 80 nucleotides in length. Their secondary structure includes four short double-helical elements and three loops (D, anti-codon, and T loops). Further hydrogen bonds mediate the characteristic L-shaped molecular structure. tRNAs have two regions of fundamental functional importance: the anti-codon, which is responsible for specific mRNA codon recognition, and the 3' end, to which the tRNAs corresponding amino acid is attached (by aminoacyl-tRNA synthetases). tRNAs cope with the degeneracy of the genetic code in two manners: having more than one tRNA (with a specific anti-codon) for a particular amino acid; and 'wobble' base-pairing, i.e. permitting non-standard base-pairing at the 3rd anti-codon position.
Source: RNAcentral